UACAGAGGGUGCGAGCGUUAAUCGGAAUUACUGGGCGUAAAGGGCGCGUAGGAGGGCAGGUAAGUCAGUGGUGAAAUCUUCGAGCUUAACUCGGAAACUGCCGUUGAUACUAUCUGUCUUGAAUCCCGUGGAGAUGAGCGGAAUAUGUCAUGUAGCGGUGAAAUGCUUAGAUAUGACAUAGAACACCAAUUGCGAAGGCAGCUCGUUACACGAAGAUUGACUCUGAGGCACGAAAGCGUGGGGAUCAAACAGG
Molecule: ribosomal RNA, 253 nt
Filed under: uncultured bacterium
Lineage: Bacteria
Description: partial 16S ribosomal RNA
Rfam family: Bacterial small subunit ribosomal RNA
Source: RNAcentral